Molecule: ribosomal RNA, 392 nt
Filed under: Triparma sp.
Lineage: Eukaryota; Bolidophyceae; Parmales; Triparmaceae
Description: partial small subunit ribosomal RNA
Rfam family: Eukaryotic small subunit ribosomal RNA
Source: RNAcentral
AUUCCAGCUCCAAUAGCGUAUAUUAAAGUUGUUGCAGUUAAAAAGCUCGUAGUUGGAUUUCUGGUGGGGACGUUUGGCCGGCCGUAACGGUUUGCGCUGAAAUGUUCUUCGCCAUCCUUGACGAAUACUGGUUCGCCAUUAAGUUGUGUGGGCUUGGAGUCGUCAUCGUUUACUGUGAAAAAAUUAGAGUGUUCAAAGCAGGCUUAUGCCGUUGAAUACAUUAGCAUGGAAUAAUAAGAUAGGACCUGAGUUCUAUUUUGUUGGUUUCUAGAGCUGAGGUAAUGAUUAAUAGGGGUAGUUGGGGGCAUUCGUAUUUAACAGUCAGAGGUGAAAUUCUUGGAUUUGUUAAAGACGGACUACUGCGAAAGCAUUUGCCAAGGAUGUUUUCAUUA